This is a long non-coding RNA of Ostrinia furnacalis (Asian corn borer), 546 nucleotides long. RefSeq lists it as uncharacterized. The transcript has 3 exons. The record is from RefSeq and is a predicted model, not a curated record. NCBI's taxonomy places the organism in Eukaryota, Metazoa, Arthropoda, Insecta, Lepidoptera, Crambidae.
CUUCCUGGUGACCCUGGCAUAUGCUCUCGAACUACGAAUCUCACUCAACCAAUGACCAAUGGCUCACUUUCGGACAUCGAACCUUGCCUAAACGCCGACCACGGCUUACGUAUGGACUCCGACCCGAGCCCCAAUGUUAACCCCAGCCCGAUUUUGGAUAAUGCAACCAGUAAUUCCUCAAUCUCAUGAGGAACCUAUGAUAUGUAUCAAUUGUAUAGCUGACAUGAUGCAGAGGAGGCGACAUAGCCUAGAGCUUAUUAAGUUCAGUUGGUUAUAAUGUCAGUGGAUGACUCCUCAGCUGAUUGAUAACAGCAGUGUAUGUUGUCACUCAUGUUGGACCGUGGCCACGGUGUGGCUCUGCACCAAUCAAGGACAAAUAAUAUUUCAAAUGAAGAAGCAACCACUAGCACUGGUCACAGUUAACGUGGAUUAUCUUUGUUACAAAUACGUUCCAUAGACUGCAUAUUAACACGGAAAGAGAAUCACAUAUUCGAAAAUAAUGUAAUAAUGGAAAAGAUUUCACCUCGUCAACAGCGGGGAUCUGAU